This 702-nucleotide long non-coding RNA is filed under the name Elaeis guineensis (African oil palm). Its description in RNAcentral is "long non-coding RNA (EGUI_LNC067173)". The record is from RNAcentral. Lineage: Eukaryota; Viridiplantae; Streptophyta; Magnoliopsida; Arecales; Arecaceae.
GUAAGUGAAACAUUAACAGAAAAGGUAAUUACUACUAUCCCUCAUUGCUCAUCAUACCUCCAAUAUUUCUCCUUUAGAACAGUCCACUCACACAACCUGCUUCGAUGUCUUCCUAUUUGCAAAAGCACCGAAAGGAAAAAAUCACUAAUAUAUCUAAAAAUUAGUGAAAUCACACGAAGAUAAACUAUUAUAACUCUUAUACAUCAACAUAAUAGUGAACUUGCUACAAACCACUUUAACUCUUAUACCUUAUCAUGGUAGCUAAGUUGCUCCAGACCAGUUCCUGAGUAACCAUCCUACAAGAAGCAGCUUCUACUUCAGCAUAUCCAUCACAUACUUGAACAGGUAAGCCAUAGUCUCUUGCUGCAUAACCGCCGAUAUGUUUGCAGACUUCUACAGAGCUUUACUGACUACGCUGACUCUUCAUCUUCCACCUGCAAGUGUAUAGUAUUUGGAUGCAGGUAACAAAACUGUCGAGCUAAGCCACAUAGGCUACAAGAGAGAAGGAUUAAUUAGUUGAUUAAGAGUUGGCUAUAAGAGAGACCUGAAAAGAGAAAGAAGGCGGGUUGUCAAGAAGGGUGUUGCCCGGAGGCAUUGUGGAGGAGGGCCGUGGCGGAAAUCCCAAACUGUUCCUGUGGGUGUGAGUUCUGCUCUGCUCUGACGUCAAAAUCAUUGUGUGAUCCUGUAGGCCCUGAAUCUUAU